CCACCCAGUUCGUCCUGUACAAGUAGUUAUGAUCGUUUGAAGUUGACCCUAAAAAUCUGUUUUGAGAGGCUGAAGUAAAACGAGUAUAACUCCUUCCUCAGAUGUUGGAUUUGAAUGAAACCAAUUGCAUUGGAAAGAAGACUCAGAGAUCUUUCUUUUGAUAUGUGGUAGCUCUCACAGUUCAUUAUAUUGAGGGAGUUAUGAUCGUUCAAAGUUGACCCAAAAAACUGGCAGGCCUCAGUAGUUUUCCUGCACAUUUACUGUUCACAUCCCGGCCACCGUUUUAAAGUUUCGAACGAGCUCGCUUAUAUCCGAAACUUAUCCGUUUUUGGAAAUAUUUAUAUCGUUGGAAAGCUUAUUCAAUAACCUUCGUAUGGAACCAUCGACGGGAAAAUUCCGGUAUAAAUAAAGUCGAUUCCUAUACACCUAUAAUCAAACUACACACUUGAAACCAUCUCAAAAUAAUCAAUACUCAUACUUAAACUCAUAUAUACCUAACUUAGGAUCAAUACAUAUA
Molecule: long non-coding RNA, 517 nt
Filed under: Capsicum annuum
Lineage: Eukaryota; Viridiplantae; Streptophyta; Magnoliopsida; Solanales; Solanaceae
Description: long non-coding RNA (CANN_LNC021085)
Source: RNAcentral